UACGGAGGGUGCGAGCGUUGUUCGGAAUCACUGGGCGUAAAGCGCGUGUAGGCGGCCUCUUAAGUCUGAUGUGAAAGCCCGGGGCUUACCCCCGGAAGUGCAUUGGAAACUGGGAGGCUAGAGUACCGGAGAGGAAGGUGGAAUUCCUGGUGUAGCGGUGAAAUGCGUAGAUAUCAGGAGGAACACCGGUGGCGAAGGCGGCCUUCUGGACGGAUACUGACGCUGAGACGCGAAAGCGUGGGGAGCAAACAGG
Molecule: ribosomal RNA, 253 nt
Filed under: uncultured bacterium
Lineage: Bacteria
Description: partial 16S ribosomal RNA
Rfam family: Bacterial small subunit ribosomal RNA
Source: RNAcentral